CUAUCCCUGCACAAGGCUAAGAACUUCUGUUUUUUCCCAUGAAAAGAAGGCUGACUUCAGCCCCUCCACCAGACUAGCCUCGAGGUUGAGAGAAUUCCAGGAGGCACGCAGAUGACAUCGUGUCUUACAACCGAGAAAUCCCAACGAUGCUGUGAAAUGGAGUUGCUGCCUGCCCCAUGUUUCCAAUGGAAGCUGCUUUAUGUUUAUGUGUUUAAAGCUGUUUUAUGUUACAUUU
Molecule: long non-coding RNA, 235 nt
Organism: Panthera uncia (snow leopard)
Lineage: Eukaryota; Metazoa; Chordata; Mammalia; Carnivora; Felidae
Exons: 2
Source: RefSeq, a predicted model, not a curated record